UCAUAAUAAUAAUAAUGUGAA
RNAcentral lists this non-coding RNA (21 nucleotides) under Caenorhabditis elegans. Lineage: Eukaryota; Metazoa; Nematoda; Chromadorea; Rhabditida; Rhabditidae. The record is from RNAcentral.